This 319-nucleotide ribosomal RNA is filed under the name uncultured eukaryote. RNAcentral's name for it is "partial 18S ribosomal RNA". It matches the Rfam family "Eukaryotic small subunit ribosomal RNA", at positions 1470 to 1796 of the family's 1831-position model. The record is from RNAcentral.
CCCUUAGAUGUUCUGGGCCGCACGCGUGCUACACUGAGUGGAUCAGCGGGUCAGGUUGCGCGAAAGUGUUUCCUAAUCUUUAAAUCCGCUCGUGAUGGGGAUUGACGGUUGCAAUUUUCCGUCAUGAACGAGGAAUACCUUGUAAGCGCGGGUCAUCAUCCCGCGCUGAAUACGUCCCUGCCCUUUGUACACACCGCCCGUCGCUCCUACCGAUUGGAUGGUCCGGUGAAGCCUCGGGAUUGUGGCGGUUGCCUUUAUUGGUGGCCGCCGCGAGAACUUGUCUAAACCUUAUCAUCUAGAGGAAGGUGAAGUCGUAACA